GCUGGUGCAUACACCUGAAAAUUAAUUCAUACAUUGAUAUAAAAAAAGGCAGCCCGUGCACUUAAGCUACCGCUAUGCAUGGUGUCUGGCGACGGACCCCACCACAAGGGUGUAUUGUACGCAAGCCUUACCUUGCAUUUCUGCAAGAGGCUGUUUUCAAGGCUUGAACCCAUGACGUGUACUCAGCCUAGCUACCGCUAUGCGUGGUGUCCGAGGAAGGGCCCCACCGCAAGGGUGUAUUGUACGCAGCCUUACCUUGCAUUUCUUCAAGAGGUUGUUUCCAAGACUUGAGCCCGUGAUGUGUACUCAGCCUUGCUACCGCUAUGCGCGGUGUCCGGGGAAGGACCACAAGGGUGUAUGUAUGCAAGCCUUACCUUGCAUUUCUGCAAGAGGCUGUUUCCAAGGCUUGAACCCGUGACGUGUGCUCAGCCUUACCUUCCAUUUCUACAAGAGGCUGUUUCCAAAGCUUGAACCCAUGACGUGACGUGUACGCAGCCUUACCUUGCAUUUCUGCAAGAGGUUGUUUUCAAGACUUGAACCCGCGACGUCCUGGUCACAUGACAGUAACUUUAGCAGUUACUCCAAAGCUCCCCUUCUGAUUAUGCAUUGACAUCGUAAAAGAAAUGUUUAUAUUAUCAUGUCACCUAAAAGAUAAUACAAAUAAUCAUGCAAUAAAAUUGAGGAAUUGAGCUAGAUAGCCUAGAUAAUAAGAUAUAAGACAAUAGGUUAAAAAAUUUAGUGAUAUUGUAAAAAUUCUUUACUAGUUACAUACUCUUCUCUUUAUUAGCCUAAUGCAAUUCUACAAAUAUAUAAACAAAUAUCUUUUGAAUUUAUUGCCAUUAAUUAGGUCAAUAAAUUGUAAUGAAUAUUGUUAAUAGAUAUGAAAUUAUUUUUACCAUUUGCCCUCUAUGACCCAAAACAAAUACUAUAAUUAUGUCUCGAUCGCAAAUUAAUUGGAAUCGAAUAUGUUAAUCUUUCAAUGUCUAUGUCACCUAAAGUAAACUCGUGAAUUUAAGACAAGUUCAAAUCAUACGUACUGAAAAUAUAAAAUAUAGAUAGAUAGAUAGAUAGAUAGAUAGAUAGAUAGAUAGAUAGAUAGAUAAAUAGCUAUGAGACAGUACCUUAAUUUCGCUUUCCAUUUUUUUGAAUUUACGAACCCAAAAUGUUAUUAAUGUAGGAGGUACCAACAACAUUAGCAGUGCCUGCAUUGCAUGCAAAUUAAAUAUUCAAAUAAAUCAACAGACAAAUUUAAUGGAUAAAUUAAAAAAAAUGUACUAGAAAACUUACCAGAAUCAAGCAAACAGAAGCAACUCUUGACAUUUUAAAUGAACUGAGAUUCAUUUCUUGAUAUGUAUGACUGCGUAUAAUUUUUUGACUCAGAUGAUUAAUUAGAAAAAAAAAUUAGAAAUUUGAGUUGUGCUAAUGCAACAUAAAAUAUUAAACUGAAAUUUUCAACUUACUUGUUUACUCAAUGUAGUUUCCCAAAUUUAUGGACUUUAUACAUAGAAAUAAUAAAAAUGGCUAGUUGUUUAUUUUUUUUCCCUUCCUAGGUCAUUUUCCUUUAUGUUGUUUCCAUAUUAGAUUAAUAUUUUUUAAAGAAAAUUCUAUAUAAAGAAUCUAAGUAUUUUUAUUAAUAUAACUCAAAUAAAAAAAAAGGAAAUUCACUUAAAGAUGAGAAGUUAAAUGAAAAGAAAAUAUCUGAUUACAUAUAAUCAAAGUUAUUUUAAUCUCUUUUUUUAUAAAUGCAUAAUGAUUUUGUUGGUUGAUACUUUAUGGAGGAAAAACAUUAAUAGUUUUUAUAUUUUUAAUUGCCAUAAUAAAUAAAUAUUUACUAUCCCUUCAUUGUUACUCAAAAAGAUUUCGAGUUUGAGCAUUAAUGAAAAUGAAAGUUAUCUUUAGUGGAGAAGAUUUUACUCCGCAUGAAUUCAAAUUUAAUCAUAUUUCAAUAUAGAUAUUGAAUAUCAAAUGAAAAAUUAAAAAAAAAUGAAACUUUUAUAUUAUUGAAAUAGUUAAAAAAAAAAAAAAGAGUCAAUAUUUUAGUACCUAUUUUAGUAAAACUAUAUCAUGAUAAAACUUAUUUGAUGUCCAAUCUAUUAGUGCAUGUGACAAUUUUUUUUCUUUGCAAAAAGAAUUGAAUAUAUAUAUAUAUGAGGUGAAACAUUCAACUUUAUUAAACUGACCUGCAGGACUCGUUUUAAAUCUUUCUCAACUCAAAAUUACAAUUAGAG
Molecule: long non-coding RNA, 2228 nt
Filed under: Capsicum annuum
Lineage: Eukaryota; Viridiplantae; Streptophyta; Magnoliopsida; Solanales; Solanaceae
Description: long non-coding RNA (CANN_LNC018288)
Source: RNAcentral